RNAcentral lists this ribosomal RNA (723 nucleotides) under uncultured bacterium. RNAcentral describes it as "bacterial SSU rRNA". It matches the Rfam family "Bacterial small subunit ribosomal RNA", at positions 65 to 781 of the family's 1533-position model. The record is from RNAcentral.
AACGAAUCUUCUUCGGAAGAUGAGUGGCGAACGGGUGAGUAAUACAUAGGUAACCUGCCCCUGUGCGGGGGAUAACAGGAGGAAACUCCUGCUAAUACCGCAUAGCCAUGAGCACCGCAUGGAGUUCAUGCCAAAUAUCCUUUCGGGGAUAGCGCAGGGAUGGACCUAUGGCGCAUUAGCUGGUUGGCGGGGCAACGGCCCACCAAGGCAACGAUGCGUAGCCGGCCUGAGAGGGCGGACGGCCACAUUGGGACUGAGACACGGCCCAGACUCCUACGGGAGGCAGCAGUAGGGAAUUUUCGGCAAUGGGUGGAAACCCUGACCGAGCAACGCCGCGUGAGCGAAGAAGGCCUUCGGGUCGUAAAGCUCUGUUGUAAAGGAAGAACGGCGCAUACAGGAAAUGGUAUGCGAGUGACGGUACUUUACCAGAAAGCCACGGCUAACUACGUGCCAGCAGCCGCGGUAAUACGUAGGUGGCGAGCGUUAUCCGGAAUCAUUGGGCGUAAAGAGGGAGCAGGCGGCCGCAAGGGUCUGUGGUGAAAGACCGAAGCUAAACUUCGGUAAGCCAUGGAAACCGGGCGGCUAGAGUGCGGAAGAGGAUCGUGGAAUUCCAUAUGUAGCGGUGAAAUGCGUAGAUAUAUGGAGGAACACCAGUGGCGAAGGCGACGGUCUGGGCCGCAACUGACGCUCAUUCCCGAAAGCGUGGGGAGCAAAUAGGAUUAG